Molecule: long non-coding RNA, 614 nt
Organism: Malaclemys terrapin pileata
Lineage: Eukaryota; Metazoa; Chordata; Testudines; Emydidae
Exons: 3
Source: RefSeq, a predicted model, not a curated record
AGGCGUACAACAGGGGCCCCGACCAUGGAGCAGGAACGCAUCCGAUAUCGCCCCGUCGCCCUCUCCCGCCCUGGAGCAGAAUCGGGGACACUGGCGAUUCUGGGUGGUGGCGAACAAGUCUACCUCGGGAGUACCACAUUGUAGGAAGAUCCACCUGGCCACCUCCCUGUGCAGGGACCACUCGUGCUGUUGGGAGAAAACCCUGCUCAGGCGAUCUGCGAGCGUGUUGAUCUUGCUGGGCAGUAGGCCUAGAGCUGCGCAGGUGUGCAGCAGGAAAUUCAUCUGCUGCUGCACCAGAGCCCGAGAUCAGCCCUUGAGGAGCCAGUCGUCGAGGUCCUGCAUUAUAGACUGGGACUCCACGGAGAGCCCCGAGAGCGAGAGCCACGACACCCUUCGCCUGGAGACUGCUGAAGCCAUCCAACGAGCGGCUGUGUCCGCUGCAUCCGAAGCCACCUGGAGAGCUGCUUUGGCCGCAGCCGCACCCUCGUCAACCAAAGCCCGGAACUCCUUCUUGUCCUUGUCUUGAAAGAGGGGUUCGAACUUGGGGAGGGAACCCCAAAGAUUAAAAUCAUAAUGGCUCAGCAGUGCCUGGUGAUUGGCCACUCUGAGCUGGA